This 2929-nucleotide ribosomal RNA is filed under the name Proteus mirabilis. RNAcentral describes it as "bacterial LSU rRNA". It matches the Rfam family "Bacterial large subunit ribosomal RNA". Lineage: Bacteria; Pseudomonadati; Pseudomonadota; Gammaproteobacteria; Enterobacterales; Morganellaceae. The record is from RNAcentral.
UUUGGUUAAGUUAGAAAGGGCGCACGGUGGAUGCCUUGACACUAGGAGUCGAUGAAGGACGGGACUAACGCCGAUAUGCUUCGGGGAGCUGUAAGUAAGCUUUGAUCCGAAGAUUUCCGAAUGGGGAAACCCACCAUACGUAAUGGUAUGGUAUCCUUAUCUGAAUACAUAGGGUAAGGAAGACAGACCCAGGGAACUGAAACAUCUAAGUACCUGGAGGAAGAGAAAGCAAAUGCGAUUUCCUGAGUAGCGGCGAGCGAAACGGAACAUAGCCCAAACCAAGAGGCUUGCCUCUUGGGGUUGUAGGACAUUCUAUACGGAGUUACAAAGGAACGAGGUAGACGAAGCGACCUGGAAAGGUCCGUCGUAGAGGGUAACAACCCCGUAGUCGAAACUUCGUUCUCUCUUGAAUGUAUCCUGAGUACGGCGGAACACGUGAAAUUCCGUCGGAAUCUGGGAGGACCAUCUCCCAAGGCUAAAUACUCCCUAGUGAUCGAUAGUGAACCAGUACCGUGAGGGAAAGGUGAAAAGCACCCCGGAAGGGGAGUGAAAGAGAUCCUGAAACCGUGUGCCUACAAAUAGUCAGAGCCCGUUAACGGGUGAUGGCGUGCCUUUUGUAGAAUGAACCGGCGAGUUACGAUCCCGUGCGAGGUUAAGCUGAAGAGGCGGAGCCGCAGCGAAAGCGAGUCUGAAUAGGGCGUUUAGUACGUGGUCGUAGACCCGAAACCAGGUGAUCUACCCAUGUCCAGGGUGAAGUUCAGGUAACACUGAAUGGAGGCCCGAACCCACGCACGUUGAAAAGUGCGGGGAUGAGGUGUGGGUAGCGGAGAAAUUCCAAUCGAACCUGGAGAUAGCUGGUUCUCCCCGAAAUAGCUUUAGGGCUAGCCUUAAGUGUAAGAGUCUUGGAGGUAGAGCACUGAUUGGACUAGGGGUCCUCAUCGGAUUACCGAAUUCAGUCAAACUCCGAAUGCCAAUGACUUAUCCUUAGGAGUCAGACUGCGAGUGAUAAGAUCCGUAGUCAAAAGGGAAACAGCCCAGACCGCCAGCUAAGGUCCCAAAGUGUGUAUUAAGUGGAAAAGGAUGUGGAGUUGCUUAGACAACUAGGAUGUUGGCUUAGAAGCAGCCACCAUUUAAAGAGUGCGUAAUAGCUCACUAGUCGAGUGACUCUGCGCCGAAAAUGUACCGGGGCUAAAUACACCACCGAAGCUGCGGAUUGAUACCAAUGGUAUCAGUGGUAGGGGAGCGUUCUAAGGACAGUGAAGUCAGACCGGAAGGACUGGUGGAGUGCUUAGAAGUGAGAAUGCCGGUAUGAGUAGCGAAAGACGGGUGAGAAUCCCGUCCACCGAAUGCCUAAGGUUUCCUGAGGAAGGCUCGUCCGCUCAGGGUUAGUCAGGACCUAAGCCGAGGCCGACAGGCGUAGGCGAUGGACAACAGGUUGAUAUUCCUGUACCACCUCUUUAUCGUUUGAGCAAUGGAGGGACGCAGAAGGAUAGAAGAAGCGUGCGAUUGGUUGUGCACGUCCAAGCAGUUAGGCUGAUAAGUAGGCAAAUCCGCUUAUCGUGAAGGCUGAGCUGUGAUGGGGAAGCUCCUUAUGGAGCGAAGUCUUUGAUUCCCCGCUGCCAAGAAAAGCUUCUAGCGAGAUAAAAGGUGCCUGUACCGCAAACCGACACAGGUAGGCGAGGAGAGAAUCCUAAGGUGUGCGAGAGAACUCUGGUUAAGGAACUCGGCAAAAUGACCCCGUAACUUCGGGAGAAGGGGUGCUUUCUUAACGGAAAGCCGCAGUGAAUAGGCCCAAGCGACUGUUUAGCAAAAACACAGCUCUCUGCGAAGCCGUAAGGCGAAGUAUAGGGGGUGACACCUGCCCGGUGCUGGAAGGUUAAGGAGAGGGGUUAGCGUAAGCGAAGCUCUGAACUGAAGCCCCAGUAAACGGCGGCCGUAACUAUAACGGUCCUAAGGUAGCGAAAUUCCUUGUCGGGUAAGUUCCGACCCGCACGAAAGGUGUAACGAUUUGGGCACUGUCUCAACCAGAGACUCGGUGAAAUUAUAGUACCUGUGAAGAUGCAGGUUACCCGCGACAGGACGGAAAGACCCCGUGGAGCUUUACUGUAGCCUGAUAUUGAAUUUUGGUACAGUUUGUACAGGAUAGGCGGGAGCCUUUGAAACCGGAGCGCUAGCUUCGGUGGAGGCGCUGGUGGGAUACCGCCCUGACUGUAUUGAAAUUCUAACCUACGGGUCUUAUCGACCCGGGAGACAGUGUCAGGUGGGCAGUUUGACUGGGGCGGUCGCCUCCUAAAGUGUAACGGAGGCGCCCAAAGGUUCCCUCAGAAUGGUUGGAAAUCAUUCGUAGAGUGCAAAGGCAUAAGGGAGCUUGACUGCGAGAGUGACGGCUCGAGCAGGUACGAAAGUAGGUCUUAGUGAUCCGGUGGUUCUGAAUGGAAGGGCCAUCGCUCAACGGAUAAAAGGUACUCCGGGGAUAACAGGCUGAUACCGCCCAAGAGUUCAUAUCGACGGCGGUGUUUGGCACCUCGAUGUCGGCUCAUCACAUCCUGGGGCUGAAGUAGGUCCCAAGGGUAUGGCUGUUCGCCAUUUAAAGUGGUACGCGAGCUGGGUUUAGAACGUCGUGAGACAGUUCGGUCCCUAUCUGCCGUGGGCGUUGGAAAUUUGAGAGGAGCUGUCCUUAGUACGAGAGGACCGGGAUGGACGCACCGCUGGUGUACCAGUUGUUCUGCCAAGGGCAUAGCUGGGUAGCUAUGUGCGGAAGGGAUAAGUGCUGAAAGCAUCUAAGCAUGAAGCCCCCCUCAAGAUGAGAUUUCCCAUAGCGUAAGCUAGUAAGAUCCCUGAAAGAUGAUCAGGUUGAUAGGUUCGAGGUGGAAGCAUGGUGACAUGUGGAGCUGACGAAUACUAAUAGAUCGAGGACUUAACCAUAUAA